ACUACUUACAAGGUGCUGCAUGGUUGUCGUCAGCUCGUGCCGUGAGGUGUCGGGUUAAGUCCCAUAACGAGCGCAACCCCUAUCGUUAGUUGCCAGCAAGUAAAGUUGGGGACUCUAACGAGACUGCCGGUGUAAACCGUGAGGAAGGUGGGGAUGACGUCAAAUCAGCACGGCCCUUAUAUCCAGGGCUACACACGUGUUACAAUGGUCGGUACAAAGAGCAGCCACUUGGUGACAAGGCGCUAAUCUCUAAAGCCGAUCUCAGUUCGGAUCGAAGUCUGCAACUCGACUUCGUGAAGUUGGAUUCGCUAGUAAUCGCGCAUCAGCCAUGGCGCGGUGAAUACGUUCCCGGGCCUU
This 357-nucleotide ribosomal RNA is filed under the name uncultured Marinilabiliaceae bacterium. RNAcentral's name for it is "bacterial SSU rRNA". It matches the Rfam family "Bacterial small subunit ribosomal RNA", at positions 1026 to 1382 of the family's 1533-position model. The record is from RNAcentral. Lineage: Bacteria; Pseudomonadati; Bacteroidota; Bacteroidia; Marinilabiliales; Marinilabiliaceae.